CCCCUAGUAACUGCGAGUGAAGAGGGAAAAGCUCAAAUUUAAAAUCUGGCAGUCUCUGGCUGUCCGAGUUGUAAUUUAGAGAAGUGUUACCCGUGCUGGACCGUGUAUAAGUCUCCUGGAAUGGAGCGUCAUAGAGGGUGAGAAUCCCGUCUUUGACACGGACUCCCAGUGCAUUGUGGUACGCUCUCGAAGAGUCGAGUUGUUUGGGAAUGCAGCUCUAAAUGGGUGGUAAAUUCCAUCUAAAGCUAAAUAUUGGCGAGAGACCGAUAGCGAACAAGUACCGUGAGGGAAAGAUGAAAAGAACUUUGGAAAGAGAGUUAAACAGUACGUGAAAUUGCUGAAAGGGAAACGCUUGAAGUCAGUCGCGUUAUCCAGGGAUCAACCUUGCUUUAGUGAGGCGUACUUCCUGGAUGACGGGUCAGCAUCAGUUUUGACCGUCGGAAAAAGGCUUAGGGAAUGUGGCAUCUCCGGAUGUGUUAUAGCCCUUUGUCGUAUACGGCGGUUGGGACUGAGGAACUCAGCACGCCGCAAGGCCGGGUUUUUAACCACGUUCGUGCUUAGGAUGUUGGCAUAAUGGCUUUAAGCGACCCGUCUUGAAACACGGACCAAGGAGUCUAACAUGCUUGCGAGUGUUUGAGUGGAAAACUCGAGCGCGUAAUGAAAGUGAAAGUUGGGAUCUCUGUCGUGGAGAGCACCGACGCCCGGACCUGAUGUUUACUGACGGAUCUGCGGUAGAGCACGUAUGUUGGGACCCGAAAGAUGGUGAACUAUGCCUGAAUAGGGUGAAGCCAGAGGAAACUCUGGUGGAGGCUCGUAGCGAUUCUGACGUGCAAAUCGAUCGUCGAAUU
Molecule: ribosomal RNA, 848 nt
Filed under: Moniliophthora perniciosa
Lineage: Eukaryota; Fungi; Basidiomycota; Agaricomycetes; Agaricales; Marasmiaceae
Description: LSU rRNA
Rfam family: Eukaryotic large subunit ribosomal RNA
Source: RNAcentral